RNAcentral lists this ribosomal RNA (472 nucleotides) under Streptococcus gordonii. Its description in RNAcentral is "bacterial SSU rRNA". It matches the Rfam family "Bacterial small subunit ribosomal RNA", at positions 28 to 474 of the family's 1533-position model. Lineage: Bacteria; Bacillati; Bacillota; Bacilli; Lactobacillales; Streptococcaceae. The record is from RNAcentral.
GACGAACGCUGGCGGCGUGCCUAAUACAUGCAAGUAGAACGCACAGUUUAUACCGUAGCUUGCUACACCAUAGACUGUGAGUUGCGAACGGGUGAGUAACGCGUAGGUAACCUGCCUGGUAGCGGGGGAUAACUAUUGGAAACGAUAGCUAAUACCGCAUAAUAUUAAUUAUUGCAUGAUAAUUAAUUGAAAGGUGCAAUUGCACCACUACCAGAUGGACCUGCGUUGUAUUAGCUAGUAGGUGAGGUAACGGCUCACCUAGGCGACGAUACAUAGCCGACCUGAGAGGGUGAUCGGCCACACUGGGACUGAGACACGGCCCAGACUCCUACGGGAGGCAGCAGUAGGGAAUCUUCGGCAGUGGACGAAAGUCUGACCGAGCAACGCCGCGUGAGUGAAGGAGGUUUUCGGAUCGUAAAGCUCUGUUGUAAGAGAAGAACGGGUGUGAGAGUGGAAAGUUCACACUGUGACG